AUACGGAAGGUCCGGGCGUUAUCCGGAUUUAUUGGGUUUAAAGGGAGCGCAGGCGGGAUAUUAAGCGUGACGUGAAAUGUAGAUGCUCAACAUCUGAACUGCGUCGCGAACUGGUUUCCUUGAGUGCAUUCGACGUCAGCGGAAUUUGUGGGGGAGCGGUGAAAUGCUUAGAUAUCACGAAGAACUCCGAUUGCGAAGGCAGCUGACGAGACUGUAACUGACGCUAAAGCUCGAAAGUGCGGGUAUCGAACAGGAUUAGAUACCCUGGUAGUCCGCACGGUAAACGAUGGAUGCCCGCUGUUUGCGAUAUAUUGUAAGCGGCCAAGCGAAAGCGUUAAGCAUCCCACCUGGGGAGUACGCCGGCAACGGUGAAACUCAAAUGAAUUGACGGGG
RNAcentral lists this ribosomal RNA (393 nucleotides) under uncultured bacterium. Its description in RNAcentral is "partial 16S ribosomal RNA". It matches the Rfam family "Bacterial small subunit ribosomal RNA", at positions 523 to 918 of the family's 1533-position model. The record is from RNAcentral.